This 309-nucleotide ribosomal RNA is filed under the name Triticum aestivum (bread wheat). Its description in RNAcentral is "partial small subunit ribosomal RNA". The record is from RNAcentral. Lineage: Eukaryota; Viridiplantae; Streptophyta; Magnoliopsida; Poales; Poaceae.
AUGUUGUAUGGCGCGGAGUGUUGGCCGACUAAAAGGCGACAUGUUCAACAGUUAGGUGUGGCGGAGAUGCGUAUGUUGAGAUGGAUGUGUGGCCACACGAGGAAGGAUCGAGUCCGGAAUGAUGAUAUACGAGAUAGAGUUGGGGUAGCACCAAUUGAGGAGAAGCUUGUCCAACAUCGUUUGAGAUGGUUUGGGCAUAUUCAGCGCAGGCCUCCAGAAGCUCCAGUGCAUAGCGGACGGCUAAAGCGUGCGGAGAAUGUCAAGAGAGGGCGGGGUCGACCGAUUUUUGACAUGGGAGGAGUCCGUUAA